Unclassified non-coding RNA from Pan paniscus (pygmy chimpanzee), 328 nucleotides. Its record names the gene 7SK. It matches the Rfam family "7SK RNA". Rfam says of the family: 7SK was discovered as an abundant small nuclear RNA in the mid-70s but a possible function has only recently been suggested. NCBI's taxonomy places the organism in Eukaryota, Metazoa, Chordata, Mammalia, Primates, Hominidae. The record is from Ensembl.
GGAUGUGAGGGUGAUCUGUCUGUGACAUCUGCCACCCUAUUGAUAGCCCGAGUUGACUUGGCUGAUCUGGCCAGCUAGGCGGGUGUCCCCUUCCUCCCUCACCACUCCAUGUGUGUCCCUCCCAAAGCUGUGCUCGGUGAAAGAGGAUUACCAUCCCUGAUAGAAGAGGACUGGUCUUUGGUCAAGGGUAUACGGGCAACUGCGCUCCCCUGCUAGAACCUCCAAACAAGCUCUCAAGGUCCACCAGUCCCACUCCCAUGAUAACCCAUUAAUCCAUUGACCCAUUAAUCCAUUGACCCAUUAAUCCAUGAGUGGAUUAAUCUAUUCA